Molecule: long non-coding RNA, 1082 nt
Filed under: Helianthus annuus (common sunflower)
Lineage: Eukaryota; Viridiplantae; Streptophyta; Magnoliopsida; Asterales; Asteraceae
Source: RNAcentral
ACUCAACCUUCUCCCAAGGCAGUUCUUUACGGUUUCUCUACCUGGUGGUUAGGUCCCUCAUUUCCUGCCCAUGAUCUUCUCAACUCACUCCUACAAUCCUGGUAAACUAUCAACCGCCCGCUAUAUUUUAGGGUUUGAAGAGGUUAAAUGUAGAUUGACUACUGCGGUUGCGACAAGAAGGAAAUACGAAGUAGAGUUCUCCUGGAUUCCUUCAAUUAAUGACAGUUCCCCCAUGCUCUCCUAAUUGCAGGGUGUUGUAGUGGCGAAGAGAGGAGGCCUAAUGACGUUAAGGAAGCUUUGAAAUCGAGAAGAUUGGGGAAAACUUUUAGUUUCAUCAUCAAUUGACACCCUGUACGUCCAUCAUCAAUUGGCACACAUCUACCAAUGGUAGAUGUUGCUAUUAUUAAGGUCGGAUUAAGAGGAAAGAGGGAUGGAACUAAUGUGGUAUCCAAGUUUAAUAAAGCAAAAUUCAUAAUUCUACAUAUAAAGAAUGUGUCUAAUAUGAUGCACAUUUUUUCCCGGAUCACGCUACUAGGGUAUGACCACACAUAAUUCCUUGGUAAUACUUUGAAUAAAUUGCGGGACAGAAUGCUAAGGUGCCUUUUCAAGUGUCAGUAUUGAACUUGCUUUCAUAUUAAGCUAUAUGGGGCAUCAAAGAACUGGUCACUUUGAAGUCAAAUCGUGGAUCUGAUUAUAAGCAUCGUGAAAGGGAAACAGGUGGAUCAAACAUGUACUUCUUUUAGUUUGGGUUCAAAAUAUGGAUGGGUCAGACGGGUAAUCUGAUAAAACGUUUUUCUGAUUUUCCCUUUCCAACCAGUUAAUGAAAGUUGUUUUCCAGUGUUUUACAAUAUCUUUUGGAUGAAUUUGUAGAGUUAAGUUCCUGUAAAAAUAAAGUUAUCGUACGAAACGUACGAAGUGAAAGAAAGUCAAAAAAGUGGCGGUGGCAUUUUGGUAAUUAUCAGCAACUUCAAAAUUACUCUAGUAGAGUAAUUUUGAACUACUGUAGGGUAAUUUUGUAAAAGUUCAAGUAGAGUAAUUUUGGUCGUGUAGGGUAAUUAUCAAAAUUGUAGGGUAAUUAUCAA